Molecule: ribosomal RNA, 325 nt
Filed under: uncultured eukaryote
Lineage: Eukaryota
Description: partial 18S ribosomal RNA
Rfam family: Eukaryotic small subunit ribosomal RNA
Source: RNAcentral
CCCUUAGAUGUUCUGGGCUGCACGCGCGCUACACUGAAGCGUUCAACGAGUAUUCACCUUGCCCGGGAGGGUUGGGUAAUCUUUUGAAAACGCUUCGUGAUGGGGAUAGAUUAUUGCAAUUAUUAAUCUUCAACGAGGAAUUCCUAGUAAGCGCGAGUCAUCAGCUCGUGUUGAUUACGUCCCUGCCCUUUGUACACACCGUCCGUCGCUCCUACCGAUUGAGUGAUCCGGUGAAUAAUUCGGACUGCAGCACUGCUUGGUCUCCAGGCUUUGCAGCGGAAAGUUUAGUGAACCUUAUCACUUAGAGGAAGGAGAAGUCGUAACA